Molecule: ribosomal RNA, 468 nt
Filed under: uncultured bacterium
Lineage: Bacteria
Description: partial 16S ribosomal RNA
Rfam family: Bacterial small subunit ribosomal RNA
Source: RNAcentral
GACGAACGCUGGCGGCGUGCUUAAUACAUGCAAGUCGAACGGAAAGGCCCUGCGUUUGUGGGGUGCUCGAGUGGCGAGCGGGGGAGUAACACGUGAGUAACCUGCACUUGACUUUGGGAUAACUUCAGGAAACUGGGGCGAAUACAGGAUAGGAGCUCCUGCUGCAUGGGGUGGGUAGGAAAGAUUCGGCGGUGGGGGAUGGACUCGCGGCUUAUGAGCUGGUUGGUGGGGUAGGGGAUGACCAAGGCUAUGACGGGUAGGCGGCCUGAGAGGGGGACCGGCCACAUUGGUACUGCGAUACGGCCCAGACUCCUACGGUAGGCAGCAGUCGGGAAUAUUGCACAAUGGGCCCAAGCCUGAUGCAGCAACGCCCCGUGCGGGAUGCCCGCUUUCUGGUUGUAAACCGCUUUCGCCUGUGACGAAGCGUGAGUGACGGUACUGGGUAAAGAAGCACCGGCUAACUACGUG